CCUACGGGAGGCAGCAGUGAGGAAUAUUGGUCAAUGGGCUUACGCCUGAACCAGCCAAGUCGCGUGAGGGAAGAAUGCCCUAUGGGUUGUAAACCUCUUUUGUCAGGGAGCAACGCCGGCUACGUGUAGCCGGACGGAGAGGACCUGAAGAAAAAGCAUCGGCUAACUCCGUGCCAGCAGCCGCGGUAAUACGGAGGAUGCGAGCGUUAUCCGGAUUUAGUGGGUUUAAAGGGUGCGUAGGCGGAAUGCCAAGUCAGCGGUAAAAUCGCGGGGCUCAACCUCGCUCCGCCGUUGAAACUGGCGUUCUUGCGUGGGCGAGACGUAUGCGUAAUGCGUGGUGUAGCGGUGA
RNAcentral lists this ribosomal RNA (349 nucleotides) under uncultured bacterium. Its description in RNAcentral is "partial 16S ribosomal RNA". It matches the Rfam family "Bacterial small subunit ribosomal RNA", at positions 338 to 684 of the family's 1533-position model. The record is from RNAcentral.